RNA transcript from Mya arenaria, 4432 nucleotides. RefSeq lists it as uncharacterized. The transcript has 6 exons. The record is from RefSeq and is a predicted model, not a curated record. Lineage: Eukaryota; Metazoa; Mollusca; Bivalvia; Myida; Myidae.
CUUGAAUAGACUUAUUUAAGCAUUUAUUCACGAAUGUUUGGUAUAAAGCAUAUGGAAGUACAUGGAACGAGUCGAGUGAUAUUUUAGUUGUUUUAUAUAUCCACCUGGGGGAAAUUGAAAAACAAUACAAAAAUAGACAUGAUAUUAAGAUCAGGGAAACCAGCGAUAUACUCCAGCUUUAAUACUUCCUGAAAUGAUCUCAACAGUUCUCUUAUGUGUUUUAAACAGCGGCUGUAUUCAAUAAACAACUUCGAAUGGAUAACUUAAAUUUAAGAAUAGAAUCUGAAAGGCUUAAUUUGCCUUAACGAAUAACUGGCAAAUAAAAUGAAUGAAAUUGCUCAGAGUUAAGGUUAGAUCAUGUGCAAUACUGUGCUACCGAUCAGCCUCAUAAGUUAUCUAUGGGGUACAAGAUCCAGCUGUUUAUAAAUAUUCGCCUUAUCUUGCGCAAAUCUGGUCGGAUUUCCUCUUGCGAACCUUAACCUUUAUUUAUUCCGGUCAUGUGUUUCACAAGAUGCCCACACGGAAACCAUUACUGAUAGACAUACAUGUGCCGCGCUUUCAAUCCGUCAUUAAUAACCGAUAGCUAGAAGUUUACCAAGAAAACAUUUGUACUUGCGUGUGUAAAGUUCUAGUUAAAACGUAUGGUUGUGUGUAUUGACCAACAACAUUAACAUUAACAUUAGCCGUGAUUGAUAAGAAUGACGCGGACCUGAGGAUUCUUACAAAUUUUGAAUCACGAAAUAAAAUGCAUAUGCUACAAACAUGUGAGACUGGUGGAUAAUCAAAAGAACAAUUCGAAGGGAUGAGGCUAUUACCUCACAGCGAGGUUUAUAGAACGAAACAUGUACCAAUGCUAUCCGAAAGGGGGCAAAAGGAGACAACAUAAUGUAUGACCUCAUUGACAAGGUGUCCACCAUUACCAAACUGGCGAACUCCAUGGGGAACUGGUAUUGGGAAACCUCGCCCUGGUGAGGAAAGAAAGCAUAUGCUUGGCCACUGGCAAUACUCGAAGAGUAUAUGAUAUGCUGCCAUGACGUUCCCUGGAGUAGAUUUAAAUUUGGCCACCACUAAGAGGAACCCGUAGGCGCGAUAACAAUUGACAAAUACUAGAUUGAUACACAAUAAGGAAGUACUCAUUUUACUGUGAAGUGUACUAGUGACUGGAAUGAUAUUUUAUAGCCAAUAUGAUAAAUUAAUGUAACUUUUAUUAUUCUACGAAUUUUUAUUUGAAAUGCAGAAUAAAUUCAGUAAGUUUUAUUAUGGUUAUUCACAUUGUUUUAAGUCCGUUAAUUCAACAUAGUUUUCGCAAGUAUGAAUUAUUGCGCACAUAAAAAUAAAAUAAGUUAAACUGCAUGUGACAUCUGUAUGAAUAUCCGCCUGUAAACUAAAAUUCUGCCAGUAACCGAAAUUUCGCAUGAAUCUGAAAUUCCGCACGUAAUCUGAAAUUCCGCCCACGACCGAAAAUCCGUCUAAUCUAGAACUUCGGCCCCUAAUCUGAAAUUUCGCCCGUAACUCAAAAUCAAGCUAUAUCUGAAAAUUCGCCCAUACCCUGAAAUUCCGUCCCACCUCAUUUACAUAUUUCGCCCAAGAACCAGUUCCGCCUCUAACAAUAAAUAUUAUAUUAUUCAAACUACGACUGGAAAAAAUCUCCGCCCGGAACUUAUAGUUAAAUUACGUGUCAAUUCCAGACGAAACAUUUCGUACGGGUCUUAACCGACGGCUUGUCCAUACAUCGUCAGUGCGCUCUGGAUGCCGCGACAGAACUCAGGAAUACAAAGAUUCUGGCAAUAGGUAUCGGCUUGGAGGUUUCACACGAUGAGCUGCUGGGCAUGGCCUCCCCGGGGGACGAUCUGGCUUCCGAAUACAUGUUUUCCGUGCACAACUUAAACGCCCUCUAUACAGUCAUACAGCAACUGGUUGCCCUCACAUGCGACGAGUGUUUGUGGAACACGUCAAGUGAUGUUACAGUUCUACCUGAUAUGAGGUCAGGAAUCAGUGACCUAACCUUUAGUCAAGCAGUAGAUGCACUGGCGUACGUAUUGACAGAAACGCUAGAUAAAAGCUACAACGUCACGGUCCGUCUCGCUAUAGUUUCGUAUGAUGAUGAAAGGGUACAAAUCCACCGUUAUCUGACAGACACGGCGACCACUGACACCUUGGUCCGCUAUAUACAGACGUUAACAGCGACUCGUGCAUGUGCCGUAGGAAGUAGUGGAUCUUGUGGUACUUUUAACAUGAACACACUAGAUAAAGCAGAGGGUUAAUUUAGUGAAAGUAAAAAUGAAACUCGACAGACUAUUAUCCUGUUCACGAAUGGUGAUCUUCGUGUCCCUUCAGGGCCUAACUCGACCCUUGCCAGACUGAAAGUGUCAGGCAGGCUGUUGUUGGUGAUAGGGGUUGGGGAGAAAUUUUGAGGUUUGGUCUGUUCAAGGGCUAGUUAUCGACGCGGCGUACGUUUUUGUGCCUCGUUUUUUGGGAUCCAUACAAACUUUGGACGUGAUUACCACGGACAUUUUCCAUAGCUGACAUGCGAACAUUUAAAUUACUUUUGAAAAACAACAAAUGUCUUUAUUUUAAAAUGUAACACAUAAAGAUAUAGGCACCAUAUUAUAAAAAAACAUAGCACACGUCUUAUAUACAAUGUGGCCUUCUGAAAGAACACACAAACACACAAUUGUUUUAUCAUGAAAUAAAACUGGAAUAAAUGAUCAUUUUGACAUGGACAAAAAUGACUUGAAUGAAAACGUAAGCAUGAAUGUAUGUUAUUUCAAAAUGGUACGUAUUAAAACAAGUACGAAAACAUAAAGCAUCAUGAACAUUUUACAUCAAUUUAGCACAUCAAUCCCUCAAUUUGUACCUAAAUGUUACAAGAAAUCUCAUUAAAAUUAAUGAACUGAGUAAGUAGGACAGUCACACAUGUAUAAAUCUUACUUAUCAUAUACACAAGUUUUAAACUAUCUGCAUGGAUUUGUGCAUACAAUUCUUACAACAGUUUUUGCAAUUGAUGAUGUAAAAAUAACUUCUUGCAACAGGCUUAAACUGUCUUCCGUGUUAGAUUUACGUAUUCCUGUCGGUAAAAAGUCCUAAACGUUCCCAUGCACUGUAGCAUACAAACGAGUGUUUCUUGUAUUUUGUUCUAUGUCUAAUGUGAGCAAUGUCUUGUUUGAUUUGAUUUAAACGUAUUUUAUUGCAUUUUUUCUUUCAACAUGAUCGGUAUUUACAACAAUGAUAUAGAGUAUACAAAGAGCAAAUGGGUUGGACACAAGUUCUAACAACAACAAACUCAAUCGUAAUCCAUAUCUUGUAUUGUUAGAUUAUCUUAUUAACACCAUGAUGGUCUUAAAAUACGUUCGGUGUACUGAUAUUUAAUAUAAACAAAAUAUGUCAGUUGUUUAACGGUGUAUUUGUGUGUAUUUGAACUUAGUAUGAAUGUUGUUCUGAUUGUCAGUUUGGAUUGGAUUCUAGUGUUCUUGACAACAAUAAUAGUAUUCUUAAUUUUGUCAUCGUCUAUAAGCAGUUAAACUUGUAAAGAAGUAACAUGCGUCAGGAAGUUAUUCAGAUAACUUGGAAGCUUCCUCUAAUGUAAACCCUAUUUUUUUUUUACUUUUUUAAAUUGAUUUAUUCGUAAUAUAUUUGAUUUUUAUUAAGAAUUGACAUUCCAUAAUUUAACAAUCACUAAGCUGAUAAAUACAUGCUAUGACCUUGACACUUGCCGUAUGAGUAAGACAUGCAUUUCGAAAUAGCAUUGUUGACUGUGAUCACUGUCCGAUCAAUAUCAGUUAUAAAUGGGUCAUAGUAGAUAAUUGUUACGAUUACGCAAUACGGUUUUGAACAAGGAAGUAAUUGUAUCUAUAUCUUUAUGGCCAAAUUUACAUUUUCUCUUUUAAUCGUUGAUGACAAAUACAUUUGAAAAUACUAGGGACUCCGAAAUGAGGAAUUUAAUAUUGAUAAUUCUCCCCUGAGACUGAAAAUAAGUGACGGAGUGCUUCUUUUUGUUUAUUGCUCCUGCCAUAAAUAUGAGCAUGAAUAUAUUAAUUGAAACCUUCACGGUAAUGAUUAAAGAUGCACUUUUACUCCACAAUAAGAUUUACCAAAAUUAAAACCAUUGUUUAAAUAUACCAAAAAAGAUGAAUAAAUGUCAAAAACAAUGGUUCUUAUGAAAUAUAUCGAGUUUAAAUUGAAAGAAAGCUGCAGAAAACGCGGGUUUUCAAACUUAUGAGAUGAUAGUAGAUCGGAGUAAAUCUUUUGGCACUCACCAAUCAUUUAAUAUUUUUGCGUUUUCAGCUAUCAAAUACACUGUUUCAAUCUUGUUAUCAGUAAUUCAUAUUUUCCAUAAAUGCAUUAUCUAGUAAGUAGUUAAAGGUUUAUCACUCAAACAUUAUAUUUGUUAUACAUAUGUAUGUAUUGGUUUUGAAUAAAAGUGUCACUUUAA